GACGAACGCUGGAGGCGUGCUUAACACAUGCAAGUCGAACGAUGAAAUGGAGCUUGCUCCAUGGAUUAGUGGCGAACGGGUGAGUAACACGUGAAUAACCUGCCCUUAAUUUUGGAAUAACCCAGGGAAACCUGGGCUAAUACCGGAUAAGUAAACCUGUGGCCUCACAUGGUUUUGGAAAGUUUUUCGAUUAAGGAUGGAUUCGCGGCCUAUCAGCUUGUUGGUGAGGUAAUGGCUCACCAAGGCGACGACGGGUAGCCGGCCUGAGAGGGUGAACGGCCACAUUGGGACUGAGACACGGCCCAAACACCUACGGGUGGCAGCAGUAGGGAAUUUUUCGCAAUGGACGGAAGUCUGACAGAGCAAUGCCGCGUGGGGGAAGAAGAUUUUCGGAUUGUAAACUCCUGUUGUGAGGGAAGAAAGACGAUAGGAGGGAAUGGCUAUCGAGUGACGGUACCUUACCAGAAAGGGACGGCUAACUACGUGCC
RNAcentral lists this ribosomal RNA (488 nucleotides) under uncultured bacterium. RNAcentral describes it as "partial 16S ribosomal RNA". It matches the Rfam family "Bacterial small subunit ribosomal RNA", at positions 28 to 509 of the family's 1533-position model. The record is from RNAcentral.